ACGCUGGCGGCGUGUCUAAUACAUGCAAGUAGAACGCUGAAGCUUGGUGCUUGCACCGAGCGGAAGAGUUGCGAACGGGUGAGUAACGCGUAGGUAACCUGCCUCUUAGCGGGGGAUAACUAUUGGAAACGAUAGCUAAUACCGCAUAAAAGUCGGCAUUGCAUGAUGUUGACUUGAAAGGUGCAACUGCAUCACUAAGAGAUGGACCUGCGUUGUAUUAGCUAGUUGGUGAGGUAACGGCUCACCAAGGCGACGAUACAUAGCCGACCUGAGAGGGUGAUCGGCCACACUGGGACUGAGACACGGCCCAGACUCCUACGGGAGGCAGCAGUAGGGAAUCUUCGGCAAUGGACGGAAGUCUGACCGAGCAACGCCGCGUGAGUGAAGAAGGUUUUCGGAUCGUAAAGCUCUGUUGUAAGAGAAGAACGAGUGUGAGAGUGGAAAGUUCACACUGUGACGGUAACUUACCAGAAAGGGACGGCUAACUACGUGCCAGCAGCCGCGGUAAUACGUAGGUCCCGAGCGUUAUCCGGAUUUAUUGGGCGUAAAGCGAGCGCAGGCGGUUAGAUAAGUCUGAAGUUAAAGGCUGUGGCUUAACCAUAGUACGCUUUGGAAACUGUUUAACUUGAGUGCAGAAGGGGAGAGUGGAAUUCCAUGUGUAGCGGUGAAAUGCGUAGAUAUAUGGAGGAACACCGGUGGCGAAAGCGGCUCUCUGGUCUGUAACUGACGCUGAGGCUCGAAAGCGUGGGGAGCAAACAGGAUUAGAUACCCUGGUAGUCCACGCCGUAAACGAUGAGUGCUAGGUGUUGGGUCCUUUCCGGGACUCAGUGCCGCAGCUAACGCAUUAAGCACUCCGCCUGGGGAGUACGACCGCAAGGUUGAAACUCAAAGGAAUUGACGGGGGCCCGCA
This 910-nucleotide ribosomal RNA is filed under the name uncultured bacterium. RNAcentral's name for it is "bacterial SSU rRNA". It matches the Rfam family "Bacterial small subunit ribosomal RNA", at positions 33 to 925 of the family's 1533-position model. The record is from RNAcentral.